GAUGAACGCUAGCGGCAGGCCUAACACAUGCAAGUCGAGGGGCAUCACGAGGUAGCAAUACUUUGGUGGCGACCGGCGCACGGGUGCGUAACGCGUAUGUAACCUACCUAUAACAGGGGCAUAACACUGAGAAAUUGGUACUAAUUCCCCAUAAUAUUCGGAGAGGCAUCUCUCCGGGUUGAAAACUCCGGUGGUUAUAGAUGGACAUGCGUUGUAUUAGCUAGUUGGUGAGGUAACGGCUCACCAAGGCAACGAUACAUAGGGGGACUGAGAGGUUAACCACCCACACUGGUACUGAGACACGGACCAGACUCCUACGGGAGGCAGCAGUGAGGAAUAUUGGUCAAUGGACGCAAGUCUGAACCAGCCAUGCCGCGUGCAGGAAGACGGCUCUAUGAGUUGUAAACUGCUUUUGUACGAGGGUAAACUCACCUACGUGUAGGUGACUGAAAGUAUCGUACGAAUAAGGAUCGGCUAACUCCGUG
This 485-nucleotide ribosomal RNA is filed under the name uncultured organism. RNAcentral describes it as "bacterial SSU rRNA". It matches the Rfam family "Bacterial small subunit ribosomal RNA", at positions 28 to 507 of the family's 1533-position model. The record is from RNAcentral.